ACCCUAGCUUUAUAGACGACAAAGGCCGGCUUCGAAUCGCCCCCUACCAUGAUUUCACCAAGUCUUCCCAUGGAUGCCCCCUUUGCCCCCCGAACAUGUGCAAGAGCAAAAUCGUGGAGCGGAUUCGCGCUGGGGAGAAGAAGAG
Long non-coding RNA from Dendrobium catenatum, 145 nucleotides. RefSeq lists it as uncharacterized. Lineage: Eukaryota; Viridiplantae; Streptophyta; Magnoliopsida; Asparagales; Orchidaceae. The record is from RefSeq and is a predicted model, not a curated record. The transcript has 2 exons.